This is a long non-coding RNA of Gasterosteus aculeatus aculeatus (three-spined stickleback), 511 nucleotides long. The record is from Ensembl. NCBI's taxonomy places the organism in Eukaryota, Metazoa, Chordata, Actinopteri, Perciformes, Gasterosteidae.
AUUGUGAUCACCACACGCAGAGCGGUCGCCGUGUCUCUCGCUGUUUGCCGUCUUACUCAUUCCUGCCAAGGGAUCAAAAGACACCUAACCUCCGGACAAAAUACCUUACCUACCAGAUUGGAUGCCAUGUGAUGGGUGGUUCAAGAAGCCACCGCGGUGACACAUACUGGAAUUUGUGUUGUCUGCUUUCGGAAUGUGGACAUACGGAGAAAAGCAUUCCUGGUGGUAGAGUUUAAAUUCCUCCACAACACUUGCGUACAACCAAACCAGGCUGAUGGUGGCAUCUGUUCUUGAGGUCAAACUGUUGAACAAAGGAGGCAAACCCCUGUGUUCCCCAGGCACCACGGGACUGACCGCUGCCCCCACCCAGACGAACCGGAUAAUCCCAUAAGAGCUCGCUGGAUGACUGAGCCAAUGAACACAAGUCCCAAGGCGAAGCAACCAUCCCCGGUUGUAAGCAAGCAAACACAGUUGAACCCUCACCCCCCCUGUGUCCCGCUGUGUCUCCCUC